UCUCCGUUGGUGAACCAGCGGAGGGAUCAUUACAGAGUCGUAAAACACUCCCAAACCCAUGUGAACUUACCAUUGUUGCCUCGGCGGGCUACCCUGUAGACCGCCGGUGGACCAUUAAACUCUUGUUACUCUAUGGAUAUCUGAGCGUUUUCCAAAAAUAAAGUUAAAACUUUCAACAACGGAUCUCUUGGUUCUGGCAUCGAUGAAGAACGCAGC
This 216-nucleotide unclassified non-coding RNA is filed under the name uncultured fungus. Its description in RNAcentral is "sequence contains ITS1, 5.8S rRNA gene". The stretch from base 168 to 216 matches the Rfam family "5.8S ribosomal RNA", at positions 1 to 49 of the family's 154-position model. Lineage: Eukaryota; Fungi. The record is from RNAcentral.